Molecule: long non-coding RNA, 756 nt
Organism: Culex pipiens pallens (northern house mosquito)
Lineage: Eukaryota; Metazoa; Arthropoda; Insecta; Diptera; Culicidae
Exons: 2
Source: RefSeq, a predicted model, not a curated record
CACACUAAAAAAAUAUGAAUUUUACAUCCAACGUAAACACGAAUCUCACUUAAAUUUAUAAACUGUAAUUGACUUUUCAAUGUAAAAAUGUGUCUGAUUUGACGUAAUGCUACACAUGACACCAAUUUUAUUGAAAAUGUGAUAUUACAUCAUUGGUCCAUCACUCCAGUCUUAAUUUUACGUCUUAUAAGAUGCACAUAGCUGGAGCGUCAUUUAAGAUGUAAUUUUGCGUCACAUAAGCUAUAAUUUUUGCUGUCAAGACUGGCCUCGUUUGGCAAGGUCGGCCAUGUUUGUAAACAUAAGAAAACGGAGAUCGUGAGACUCGGAACCUUUUCGGAGCGUUCUGAGAAAGAUUCUUGGCCGGAAAAGGCAGGUGGGGCUGUUUGAAGUCGUUUACUAAGAUUCCCCAAAAUCGUUCGCAGCUGUCGCUUCUCCCGGACACGCAUCGCAACGGCAGCGGAAAAGAAUCGGCAAUCAGCGUCAGCACCAUGGAUAAGGCCGUUUCUAGCCGUACAAAUGCCAGGAUUGUGAAAGUUCCUGAAGAAGUUUUAAAACCGUGCUGGGGGAAGUGACAAAAGUGAUCAUCAGAACCGGCUAGCCGCUGCUGAAGGAUUUGUAGGGAAAAUCAGUGAAAUGUAGAGAUUGUGAAGGUAAAAAUAUUUAUAUUUGUGCAAAGUGUCGAAAAAUGUAGUGUUUGUUGAAAAUCUAUGCAGUUUUUGUAAAAUUAAACGAAUAAAAUAUUUACUUUCUCUUGCA